CAGCAGCCGCGGGAAUACGUAGGUGGCAAGCGUUGUCCGGAAUUAUUGGGCGUAAAGGGCUCGCAGGCGGUUUCUUAAGUCUGAUGUGAAAGCCCCCGGCUCAACCGGGGAGUGUCAUUGGAAACUGGGAAACUUGAGUGCAGAAGGGGAGAGUGGAAUUCCACGUGUAGCGGUGAAAUGCGUAGAGAUGUGGAGGAACACCAGUGGCGAAGGCGACUCUCUGGUCUGUAACUGACGCUGAGGCGCGAAAGCGUGGGGAGCGAACAGGAUUAGAUACCCCAGUAGUCCCUGUCUCUUAUAC
This 301-nucleotide ribosomal RNA is filed under the name uncultured bacterium. Its description in RNAcentral is "partial 16S ribosomal RNA". It matches the Rfam family "Bacterial small subunit ribosomal RNA", at positions 509 to 807 of the family's 1533-position model. The record is from RNAcentral.